This 507-nucleotide ribosomal RNA is filed under the name uncultured fungus. Its description in RNAcentral is "SSU rRNA". It matches the Rfam family "Eukaryotic small subunit ribosomal RNA", at positions 569 to 1078 of the family's 1831-position model. The record is from RNAcentral. Lineage: Eukaryota; Fungi.
AGCAGCCGCGGUAAUUCCAGCUCCAAUAGCGUAUAUUAAAGUUGUUGCAGUUAAAAAGCUCGUAGUUGAAUUUCGGGGUUAGUAAGUUGGUCACGCCUUUGGUAUGUACUGGCUUUACUGAUUCCUCCUUCUUGACGAACCGUGAUGUCAUUAAUUUGGUGUUGCGGGAAAUCAGGACUGUUACUUUGAAAAAAUUAGAGUGUUUAAAGCAGGCUAACGCUUGAAUACAUUAGCAUGGAAUAAUGAAAUAGGACGUUAAUCCUAUUUUGUUGGUUUCUAGGAUCGACGUAAUGAUUAAUAGGGAUAGUUGGGGACAUUAGUAUUCAAUUGUCAGAGGUGAAAUUCUUGGAUUUAUUGAAGACUAACUNCUGCGAAAGCAUUUGCCAAGGAUGUUUUCAUUAAUCAAGAACGAAAGUUAGGGGAUCGAAGACGAUCAGAUACCGUCGUAGUCUUAACCAUAAACUAUGCCGACUAGGGAUCGGAUGAUGUUAAUUCUUUAAUGACUCA